RNAcentral lists this ribosomal RNA (233 nucleotides) under uncultured bacterium. Its description in RNAcentral is "partial 16S ribosomal RNA". It matches the Rfam family "Bacterial small subunit ribosomal RNA", at positions 524 to 756 of the family's 1533-position model. The record is from RNAcentral.
UACGUAGGGUGCGAGCGUUGUCCGGAAUUACUGGGCGUAAAGAGCUCGUAGGUGGUUUGUCGCGUUGUCCGUGAAAUUCCCUGGCUUAACUGGGGGCGUGCGGCGAUACGGGCAGACUGGAGUACUGCAGGGGAGACUGGAAUUCCUGGUGUAGCGGUGGAAUGCGCAGAUAUCGUAAGGAAGACCAGUGGCGAAGGCGGGUCUCUGGACAGUUCCUGACGCUGAGGGCGCGA